UACAGAGGUCUCAACCGUUGUUCGGAUUCAUUGGGCGUAAAGGGCGCGUAGGCGGCCAGCACAAGUCAGUUGUGAAAUCUCCGAGCUUAACUCGGAAAGGUCAACUGAUACUGUGCGGCUAGAGUGCGGAAGGGGCAACUGGAAUUCUUGGUGUAGCGGUGAAAUGCGUAGAUAUCAAGAGGAACACCUGCGGCGAAGGCGGGUUGCUGGGCCGACACUGACGCUGAGGCGCGAAAGCCAGGGGAGCAAACGGG
Molecule: ribosomal RNA, 254 nt
Filed under: uncultured bacterium
Lineage: Bacteria
Description: partial 16S ribosomal RNA
Rfam family: Bacterial small subunit ribosomal RNA
Source: RNAcentral